UCUGUGCUUCUCCAUGGAGGAAACUCAAGGA
Molecule: non-coding RNA, 31 nt
Filed under: Homo sapiens (human)
Lineage: Eukaryota; Metazoa; Chordata; Mammalia; Primates; Hominidae
Source: RNAcentral